This 448-nucleotide ribosomal RNA is filed under the name uncultured bacterium. RNAcentral describes it as "SSU rRNA". It matches the Rfam family "Bacterial small subunit ribosomal RNA", at positions 26 to 518 of the family's 1533-position model. The record is from RNAcentral.
AGAACGAACGCUGGUGGCAGGCCUCAAACAUGCAAGUCUAGGGGGCGUAGCAAUACGUCACCGGCGGACGGGUGCGUAACACGUGGGAAUGUACUUAUUGGUUCGGAACAACUCAGGGAAACUUGAGCUAAUACCGAAUGUGCCCGAAAGGGGAAAGAUUUAUCGCCAAUAAAUCAGCCCGCGUCCGAUUAGCUAGUUGGUGAGGUAAAGGCUCACCAAGGCGACGAUCGGUAGCUGUUCUGAGAGGAAGAUCAGCCACACUGGGACUGAGACACGGCCCAGACUCCUACGGGAGGCAGCAGUUGGGAAUCUUGGACAAUGGGGGAAACCCUGAUCCAGCCAUGCCGCGUGAGUGAUGAAGGCCUUCGGGUUGUAAAACUCUUUCGACGGGGACGAUAAUGACGGUACCCGUAGAAGAAGCUCCGGCUAACUUCGCGCCAGCAGCCGC